RNAcentral lists this ribosomal RNA (490 nucleotides) under Haddadus binotatus (clay robber frog). Its description in RNAcentral is "partial 16S ribosomal RNA". It matches the Rfam family "Bacterial large subunit ribosomal RNA", at positions 1922 to 2596 of the family's 2925-position model. Lineage: Eukaryota; Metazoa; Chordata; Amphibia; Anura; Craugastoridae. The record is from RNAcentral.
GUUUAACGGCCGCGGUAUCCUAACCGCGCAAAGGUAGCACAAGUAAUUGUCUUUUAAUUGUAGAAGUGAAUGAAAGGCACCACGAGGAUUAAGCUGUCUCCUUUCUCCAAUCAAUGAAACUAAUCUUCUCGUGAAAAAGCGAGAAUAACCCCAUAAGACGAAAAGACCCUAUGGAGCUUUAAACAACUAACACCUGCUCACCAUACCCGAGCACCCUGAUUACAAGUUUUUGGUUGGGGCGACCACGGAGCACAACACACCCCCCGCGUUGAAGACACUUCCUAAAUAAAUAAGCAACAGCUUUAUGAAUCAAUAAAUUGACACAAUUGACCCAAUAUUUUGAUCAACGAACCCAGUUACCCUAGGGAUAACAGCGCCAUCCGCUUCAAGAGCACACAUCGACAAGCGGGCUUACGACCUCGAUGUUGGAUCCGGGUAACCAAGUGGAGUAACUUCUACUUAAGGUUCGUUUGUUCAACGAUUAAAACCC